This 461-nucleotide ribosomal RNA is filed under the name uncultured bacterium. RNAcentral describes it as "partial 16S ribosomal RNA". It matches the Rfam family "Bacterial small subunit ribosomal RNA", at positions 29 to 523 of the family's 1533-position model. The record is from RNAcentral.
AACGAACGCUGGCGGCAUGCUUAACACAUGCAAGUCGAACGGAUUAUAAGACUUCGGUUUUAUAGUUAGUGGCAGACGGGUGAGUAGCGCGUGGGAACAUACCUUCUGGUUCGGAAUAACGUCUGGAAACGGAUGCUAAUACCGGAUAAGCCCUAAGGGGGAACGAUUUAUUGCCAGAAGAGUGGACCGCGUUAGAUUAGGUAGUUGGUGGGGUAAAGGCCUACAAAGCCUGCGAUCGAUAGCUGGUCUGAGAGGAUGAUCAGCAACACUGGGACGGAGACACGGCCCAGACUCCUACGGGAGGCGGCAGUGGGGAAUAUUGGACAAUGGGGGCAACCCUGAUCCAGCAAUGCCGCGUGAGUGAAGAAGGCCUUCGGGUUGUAAAGCUCUUUUAUCAGGGACGAUAAUGACGGUACCUGAGGAAUAAGCUCCGGCUAACUUCGUGCCAGCCGCCGCGGUAA